RNAcentral lists this ribosomal RNA (582 nucleotides) under uncultured Pseudozyma. RNAcentral describes it as "eukaryotic LSU rRNA". It matches the Rfam family "Eukaryotic large subunit ribosomal RNA", at positions 91 to 655 of the family's 3401-position model. The record is from RNAcentral. Lineage: Eukaryota; Fungi; Basidiomycota; Ustilaginomycetes; Ustilaginales; Ustilaginaceae.
GAGUGAGAGGGAAGAGCCCAAGAUUGAAAGCUGGCGUCUUCGGCGUCCGCAUUGUAAUCUCAAGAAGUGUUUUCCGCUUCGGACCAAGCCUAAGUCCCCUGGAAAGGGGCAUCAUAGAGGGUGAUAAUCCCGUACAUGGCUUGGAGCGCCCGAGGCUUUGUGAUACGCUUUCUAAGAGUCGAGUUGUUUAGGAAUGCAGCUCAAAAUGGGUGGUAAAUGCCAUCUAAGGCUAAAUAUUGGGGAGAGACCGAUAGCGAACAAGUACAGUGAUGGAAAGAUGAAAAGAACUUUGAAAAGAGAGUUAAACAGUACGUGAAAUUGCCAAAAGGGAAGGGUAGGAGGUCAGAGAUGCGUCGCAGGAUUCAGCCUUGCUUUUGCUUGGUGUUUUUCCCAGAUUGCAGGCCAACGUCGGUUUUGGGCACUGGAGAAGGGUAGGAGGAACGUGGCACCCCUCGGGGUGUGUUAUAGCCUCCUACUGGAUACAGCGACCGAGACCGAGGACAGCAGCGUACUCGCAAGAGCGGGCCUUCGGGCACCUUUACGCUUAGGGCGUUGGCAUAAUGGCCCUCUACCACCCGUCUU